UACGUAGGGUGCGAGCGUUAAUCGGAAUUACUGGGCGUAAAGCGUGCGCAGGCGGUUUUGUAAGCCAGAUGUGAAAUCCCCGGGCUUAACCUGGGAAUGGCAUUUGGGACUGCAAGGCUUGAGUGCGGCAGAGGAGACUGGAAUUCCUGGUGUAGCGGUGGAAUGCGCAGAUAUCAGGAGGAACACCGGUGGCGAAGGCGGGUCUCUGGGCCGUUACUGACGCUGAGGAGCGAAAGCGUGGGGAGCGAACAGG
Molecule: ribosomal RNA, 253 nt
Filed under: uncultured bacterium
Lineage: Bacteria
Description: partial 16S ribosomal RNA
Rfam family: Bacterial small subunit ribosomal RNA
Source: RNAcentral